RNAcentral lists this ribosomal RNA (468 nucleotides) under uncultured bacterium. Its description in RNAcentral is "partial 16S ribosomal RNA". It matches the Rfam family "Bacterial small subunit ribosomal RNA", at positions 28 to 507 of the family's 1533-position model. The record is from RNAcentral.
GACGAACGCUGGCGGCGUGCUUAACACAUGCAAGUCGAACGGAAAGGCCCUGCUCUUGUGCCGUGCUCGUGAGCCGCGCGCGUGGGUAUCACGCGAGGAACCUCUCCUUGUCUGUGGGAUAACUCCAGGGAACACGGGCGAUUAUCCGAUAUAAGCUCCUGCAGCACAUGGUUUGUUGGUGAGAUUCGGCGUUUGGGGCUGGACUCGCGGCUUAUCAGCUUGUUGGUGGGGUAGUGGCGUACGAAGGCUUUGACGGGUAGCCGGCCUGAGAGGGUGACCGGCCCCAUUGGGACUGGGAUACGGGCCAGACUCAUACGGGAGGAAGCAGUGGGGGAUAUUGCACAAUGGGCGGAAGCAUGAUGCAGGAACGCCGCGUGCGGGAUGACGGCUUUCGGGUUGUAAACCGCUUUCGCCUGUGACGAAGCGUGAGUGACGGUAAUGGGUAAAGAAGCACCGGCUAACUACGUG